This 459-nucleotide ribosomal RNA is filed under the name uncultured bacterium. Its description in RNAcentral is "SSU rRNA". It matches the Rfam family "Bacterial small subunit ribosomal RNA", at positions 26 to 518 of the family's 1533-position model. The record is from RNAcentral.
AGGAUAAACGCUGGCGGCGUGCCUAACACAUGCAAGUCGAACGUCCUACGCGCAAGCGUAGGGAGUGGCGGACGGGUGAGUAACACGUGGGCAAUCUACCUUUCGGUGAGGAAUACCGGCGAGAAAUCGCCGACAAGACCGCAUACGCUCGGGCAACCGAGCAAAGUCGCAAGACGCCGGAGGAGGAGCCUGCGCCCGAUUAGCUAGUUGGUGAGGUAAGAGCUUACCAAGGCGACGAUCGGUAGCUGGUCUGAGAGGAUGAUCAGCCACACUGGGAUUGAGAACGGCCCAGACUCCUACGGGGGGCAGCAGUGAGGAAUUUUCGUCAAUGGGGGCAACCCUGAACGAGCAACGCCGCGUGCAGGAUGACGCUUUUCGGAGUGUAAACUGCUUUUCUCGGGGAAGAGCAAGGACGGUACCCGAGGAAUCAGCCCCGGCUAACUACGUGCCAGCAGCCGC